RNAcentral lists this ribosomal RNA (253 nucleotides) under uncultured bacterium. RNAcentral's name for it is "partial 16S ribosomal RNA". It matches the Rfam family "Bacterial small subunit ribosomal RNA", at positions 524 to 776 of the family's 1533-position model. The record is from RNAcentral.
UACGUAGGGCGCAAGCGUUAUCCGGAAUUAUUGGGCGUAAAGAGCUCGUAGGCGGUUUGUCGCGUCUGCCGUGAAAGUCCGGGGCUCAACUCCGGAUCUGCGGUGGGUACGGGCAGACUAGAGUGAUGUAGGGGAGACUGGAAUUCCUGGUGUAGCGGUGAAAUGCGCAGAUAUCAGGAGGAACACCGGUGGCGAAGGCGGGUCUCUGGGCCAUAACUGACGCUGAGGAGCGAAAGCAUGGGGAGCGAACAGG